This 451-nucleotide ribosomal RNA is filed under the name uncultured bacterium. Its description in RNAcentral is "partial 16S ribosomal RNA". It matches the Rfam family "Bacterial small subunit ribosomal RNA", at positions 28 to 507 of the family's 1533-position model. The record is from RNAcentral.
GGCUAACGCUGGCGGCGCGCCUAACACAUGCAAGUCGAACGAACCCUUCGGGGUUAGUGGCGGACGGGUGAGUAACGCGUGGAUAAUGUGACUUUUUGCUGGGGAUACUGUUCCGAAAGGAACGUUAAUACCGAAUGUGCUCGUAUGGCGGCAUCGCCGAGCGAGUAAACUGUUAGGGUGAAGGGUGCAGUCCGCGUUCUAUCAGCUAGUUGGUGAGGUAACGGCCCACCAAGGCUACGACGGAUAACUGGUCUGAGAGGAUGGUCAGUCAGGCUGGGACUGAGGCACGGUCCAGACACCGGCGGGAGGCGGCAGGGAGGUAGCAUGCACAGUGGGCGAAAGACUGAGGCAGCGACGGCGCGUGAGGAACGAAGGCCGUCGGGUUGUAGACCUCUGUCAGGAGGGAAGGAGAAUGACGGUACCUGCUGAAGAAGCUCCGGCUAACUACGUG